This 253-nucleotide ribosomal RNA is filed under the name uncultured bacterium. RNAcentral's name for it is "partial 16S ribosomal RNA". It matches the Rfam family "Bacterial small subunit ribosomal RNA", at positions 524 to 776 of the family's 1533-position model. The record is from RNAcentral.
UACGAAGGGGGCUAGCGUUGCUCGGAAUUACUGGGCGUAAAGGGCGCGUAGGCGGCGCAAGUAGUCAGGCGUGAAAUUCCUGGGCUUAACCUGGGGGCUGCGCUUGAUACGCUUGUGCUAGAGGAUGGAAGAGGCUCGUGGAAUUCCCAGUGUAGAGGUGAAAUUCGUAGAUAUUGGGAAGAACACCGAUGGCGAAGGCAGCCAUCUGGACCGACACUGACGCUGAGGCGCGAAAGCGUGGGGAGCAAACAGG